CCAGAGAGAGAGAGAGAGAGAGAGAGAGAGAGAACUUCUCCCAUUACUCUACCAUUUAGAGAGAAAAGACUUCCUAGCAGCCCCAGCUCCCCAACCCCACUAGAGGCUGUUGUGUCUGGUAGUGUAAAAGACAAUAGGACCAGACAGAGACAAUAUGACCAGGCAGAGACAGGACAGAGACAAUAUGACCAGUCAGAGACAGGACAGAGACAAUAUGACCAGGCAGAGACAGGACAGAGACAAUAUGACCAGGCAGAGACAAUAUGACCAGGCAGAGACAGGACAGAGACAAUAUGACCAGGCAGAGACAGGACAGAGACAAUAUGACCAGGCAGAGACAAUAUGACCAGUCAGAGACAGGACAGAGACAAUAUGACCAGGCAGAGACAGGACAGAGACAAUAUGACCAGGCAGAGACAAUAUGACCAGUCAGAGACAAUAUGACCAGGCAGAGACAAUAUGACCAGUCAGAGACAAUAUGACCAGGCAGAGACAGGACAGAGAUAAUAUGACCAGUCAGAGACAAUAUGACCAGUCAGAGACAAUAUGACCAGACAGAGACAAUAUGACCAGUCAGAGACAAUAUGACCAGUCAGAGACAAUAUGACCAGUCAGAGACAAUAUGACCAGUCAGAGACAGGACAGAGAUAAUAUGACCAGGCAGAGACAAUAUGACCAGUCAGAGACAGGACAGAGAUAAUAUGACCAGUCAGAGAUAAUAUGACCAGGCAGAGACAGGACAGAGAUAAUAUGACCAGUCAGAGACAAUAUGACCAGUCAGAGACAAUAUGACCAUUCAGAGACAAUAUGACCAGUCAGAGACAAUAUGACCAGACAGAGACAAUAUGACCAGGCAGAGACAAUAUGACCAGUCAGAGACAAUAUGACCAGUCAGAGACAAUAUGACCAGUCAGAGACAAUAUGACCAGUCAGAGACAAUAUGACCAGUCAGAGACAGGACAGAGAUAAUAUGACCAGUCAGAGACAAUAUGACCAGUCAGAGACAAUAGGACCAGUCAGAGACAAUAUGACCAGUCAGAGACAAUAUGACCAGUCAGAGACAAUAUGACCAGGCAGAGACAAUAUGACCAGACAGAGACAAUAUGACCAGUCAGAGACAGGACAGAGACAAUAUGACCAGUCAGAGACAGGACAGAGACAAUAUGACCAGUCAGAGACAGGACAGAGACAAUAUGACCAGGCAGAGACAGGACAGAGACAAUAUGACCAGUCAGAGACAAUAGGACCAGUCAGAGACAGGACAGAGACAAUAUGACAAGUCAGAGACAAUAUGACCAGGCAGAGACAAUAUGACCAGUCAGAGACAAUAUGACCAGGCAGAGACAAUAUGACCAGUCAGAGACAAUAUGACCAGGCAGAGACAGGACAGAGACAAUAUGACCAGGCAGAGACAGGACAGAGACAAUAUGACCAGUCAGAGACAGGACAGAGACAAUAUGACCAGUCAGAGACAAUAUGACCAGUCAGAGACAGGACAGAGACAAUAUGACCAGUCAGAGACAGGACAGAGACAAUAUGACCAGUCAGAGACAAUAUGACCAGUCAGAGACAGGACAGAGACAAUAUGACCAGGCAGAGACAGGACAGAGACAAUAUGACCAGUCAGAGACAAUAGGACCAGUCAGAGACAGGACAGAGACAAUAUGACAAGUCAGAGACAAUAUGACCAGGCAGAGACAAUAUGACCAGUCAGAGACAAUAUGACCAGACAGAGACAAUAUGACCAGUCAGAGACAAUAUGACCAGUCAGAGACAGGACAGAGACAAUAUGACCAGGCAGAGACAAUAGGACCAGUCAGAGACAGGACAGAGAUAUUAUGACCAGUCAG
Oncorhynchus keta (chum salmon) is the source of this 1850-nucleotide long non-coding RNA. RefSeq lists it as uncharacterized. The record is from RefSeq and is a predicted model, not a curated record. Lineage: Eukaryota; Metazoa; Chordata; Actinopteri; Salmoniformes; Salmonidae. The transcript has 12 exons.